This 253-nucleotide ribosomal RNA is filed under the name uncultured bacterium. Its description in RNAcentral is "partial 16S ribosomal RNA". It matches the Rfam family "Bacterial small subunit ribosomal RNA", at positions 524 to 776 of the family's 1533-position model. The record is from RNAcentral.
UACGUAGGUGGCAAGCGUUGUCCGGAAUUACUGGGUGUAAAGGGUGCGCAGGCGGGACUGUAAGUUGGAUGUGAAAUACCGAGGCUUAACCUCGGGGCUGCAUCCAAAACUGCGGUUCUUGAGUGAAGUAGAGGUAGGCGGAAUUCCGAGUGUAGCGGUGAAAUGCGUAGAUAUUCGGAGGAACACCAGUGGCGAAGGCGGCCUACUGGGCUUUAACUGACGCUGAGGCACGAAAGCAUGGGGAGCAAACAGG